This 225-nucleotide ribosomal RNA is filed under the name uncultured bacterium. RNAcentral describes it as "partial 16S ribosomal RNA". It matches the Rfam family "Bacterial small subunit ribosomal RNA", at positions 109 to 334 of the family's 1533-position model. The record is from RNAcentral.
CGUAACACGUAUGCAAUUUGCCCAUAACUGGGGGAUAGCCUUCCGAAAGGAAGAUUAAUACCCCAUAACCCAGCGAAGUGGCAUCACUUUUCUGGUAAAUCUCCGGAGGUUAUGGAUGAGCAUGCGUCUGAUUAGCUAGUUGGUGAGGUAACGGCUCACCAAGGCAACGAUCAGUAGGGGGUCUGAGAGGAUGAUCCCCCACACGGGUACUGAGACACGGACCCG